RNAcentral lists this ribosomal RNA (301 nucleotides) under uncultured bacterium. Its description in RNAcentral is "partial 16S ribosomal RNA". It matches the Rfam family "Bacterial small subunit ribosomal RNA", at positions 509 to 807 of the family's 1533-position model. The record is from RNAcentral.
CAGUCGCCGCGGUAAUACGUAGGUGGCAAGCGUUGUCCGGAAUUAUUGGGCGUAAAGGGCUCGCAGGCGGUUUCUUAAGUCUGAUGUGAAAGCCCCCGGCUCAACCGGGGAGGGUCAUUGGAAACUGGGAAACUUGAGUGCAGAAGAGGAGAGUGGAAUUCCACGCGUAGCGGUGAAAUGCGUAGAGAUGUGGAGGAACACCAGUGGCGAAGGCGACUCUCUGGUCUGUAACUGACGCUGAGGAGCGAAAGCGUGGGGAGCGAACAGGAUUAGAUACCCCCGUAGUCCCUGUCUCUUAUAC